RNAcentral lists this long non-coding RNA (332 nucleotides) under Mytilus galloprovincialis (Mediterranean mussel). Lineage: Eukaryota; Metazoa; Mollusca; Bivalvia; Mytilida; Mytilidae. The record is from RNAcentral.
UUUUAAAUAAAAUUGAGAAUGGAAAUGGGGAAUGUGCCAAAGAGACAACAACCCGACCAUAGAAAAAAACAACAGCAGAAGGUCACCAACAGGUCUUCAAUGUAGCGAGAAAUUCCCGCACCCGGAGGCGUCUUUCAACUGGCCCCUAAACAAAUAUAUACUAGUUCAGUGAUAAUGAACGCCAUACUAAUUUCCAAAUUGUACACAAGAAACUAAAAUUAAAAUAAUACAAGACUAACAAAGGCCAGAGGCUCCUGAUUUGGGACAGGCGCAAAAAUGCGGCGGGGUUAAACAUGUUUGUGAGAUCUCAACCCUCCCCCUAUACCUCUAGC